Long non-coding RNA from Syngnathus typhle (broad-nosed pipefish), 443 nucleotides. RefSeq lists it as uncharacterized. Lineage: Eukaryota; Metazoa; Chordata; Actinopteri; Syngnathiformes; Syngnathidae. The record is from RefSeq and is a predicted model, not a curated record. The transcript is spliced from 3 exons.
UGUCAUGGCUCAUUUCCGCUUCCGUGUCCUUGGUUGCACUCUGUGGUAUCACGCUGCAAAAGCAUCCAGGAAAAAUGGCAAAAUUAAGUAAAGAGACCAAACAGCGGCUGCAGCAACUGUUCCAGUGUGGACAAUUCGUCAUCCGAUGGGGAUUUAUUCCUACAGUGCUGUACUUGGGCUUCAAACGAGGAGCAGAUCCAGGAAUGCCGGAGCCUUCAGUCUUGGGUUUACUUUGGGGUUGAAGAAGGAUGACGUGCACCUGCGUCAACAACCUCCACCCGAAGACCACGACGAGUUGGCCACAUGAAAGUCAAUGUCAGUAUAUGAAGUGUCAAUUUUGUCUGAGAUAUUUAUUUGUUAUUGUUACGACAUUGUCUUGAAGUCUGUUCCAUGUUUUUGUCAAUAAAUGUCUGACAGUAAAGCCCAUAAGUGGCCUUACGAUA